UACAGAGGGUGCAAACGUUGCUCGGAAUCAUUGGGCGUAAAGCGCACGUAGGCGGCUUGUUAAGUCGGGUGUGAAAUCCCCAGGCUCAACCUGGGAAGUGCACUCGAAACUGGCGAGCUUGAAUAUGGAAGAGGGUCGCGGAAUUCCCGGUGUAGAGGUGAAAUUCGUAGAUAUCGGGAGGAACACCAGUGGCGAAGGCGGCGACCUGGGCCAAUAUUGACGCUGAGGUGCGAAAGCGUGGGGAGCAAACAGG
This 253-nucleotide ribosomal RNA is filed under the name uncultured bacterium. RNAcentral's name for it is "partial 16S ribosomal RNA". It matches the Rfam family "Bacterial small subunit ribosomal RNA", at positions 524 to 776 of the family's 1533-position model. The record is from RNAcentral.